Molecule: ribosomal RNA, 436 nt
Filed under: Lytechinus sp. RCMBAR1077
Lineage: Eukaryota; Metazoa; Echinodermata; Echinoidea; Temnopleuroida; Toxopneustidae
Description: partial 16S ribosomal RNA
Rfam family: Bacterial large subunit ribosomal RNA
Source: RNAcentral
GGAACAAGACUGUCUCUUUCUCAAGACCCCGAAUUUCACUUCCCCGUGAAGAGGCGAGGAUAAAAUCGCUAGACGAGAAGACCCUGUCGAGCUUAAGCAAAACCCAAGUCCAUAAUUUAUUUAACCUAGUCUAAUUUAUAACCAUAUCUAGCGUCAAAUUCUUAUUUUUCUUGGGGGAGCUUUGGUUGGGGCAACCGCGGAGUAAAAUAACCCUCCGCUCAUAAGAUAUGAUAAAAAGAGAAACAACUCUAAAACCAAAAUGAAACUAGUGAUCCACUAAGGUGAUCAAAGGAACAAGUUACCGCAGGGAUAACAGCGUCAUCUUUUCUGAGAGUUCACAUUGACGAAAAGGUUUGCGACCUCGAUGUUGGGAUCGGGGACAUCCUAAGGGUGCAGAAGCUUUUAAGGGGUUGGUCUGUUCGACCAUUAAAGUCCU